Heterocephalus glaber (naked mole-rat) is the source of this 879-nucleotide non-coding RNA. The record is from RefSeq and is a predicted model, not a curated record. Lineage: Eukaryota; Metazoa; Chordata; Mammalia; Rodentia; Bathyergidae.
GACCAGAGCAGCAUCCCUCAUGUAGGUGGGGCAGCAGAGGGUUCCACAAGAUCUGGGUUCAACCAAGAGUUUAACAGGAAACAGCUUCCUGUGUAUUGCUGGCCCCAAAUAUCCAGCAGAAGAGCAGAAGAGCCUCCGUCCUUGAAGUGACCAAUUACCUGCUUCCAGUGAUGGCUUCCUCCAUUCGAUUUUUUUGCCAAGACUCCAGGCCACAGCAUCACUUAUGAUUCCCAGGAUGUAACAUACUGUCAAAGGUCCUCCACCAGUCUCUUGACUACUCACCAUGUUUUUCCCAAUAAAGCAUUUUAUUGCUUUAUCAAUGAUCAAGUCCAUAUAAGAGAGAGCACUGCAUUCUGAUAUGGACAAUGUGGGGAUUUGAGAGCUGCAGAAAGGGAAAUGGAGGAAGAAGACAAACUACCAAAGGGAAAUGUCCAGGAUGGGAUGCUCAAUAAACUGGGUUUUUUUCCCCCUCAUCUUCUGGAGUGAUCCAAAGAAGAGGAGAAAUUCAAAGAACCUACCACUUGUUACCAUUCAUGGACACUCCAGUUUCCCCAUUUCAUGAUAAUUUCACAUACAAAUGUGUUAGGAAGCCAACAAGCCAAAGUCAACAGCUAGAAUGAGAAACUCAGAAUUUAAGAUGGCAGGACCCAGAGAUACCACCUUCAUUUCAUGUGGAGAGCGAAGGGUUGAAACAACCCUGAAAGACUCCUAAGCCCCUUGAGAUUCUUGAGUCAGAUAAGAACAUAAUGAGCCAGGAUAUGAAACUGGUACAAAAACAAGGAUGUUGACUUUUAAAGAAAACAACGAAUAUAGAAAGGAUUUGAAUGUCUGCUGGACAAGAAAGUAACAUUCCUGGAAUUGUAAAGAUAUAUUUGACCU